This 31-nucleotide non-coding RNA is filed under the name Rattus norvegicus (Norway rat). The record is from RNAcentral. Lineage: Eukaryota; Metazoa; Chordata; Mammalia; Rodentia; Muridae.
UGCGAGAUAGAAAGAUUACCCCUCUGAGGUC